RNAcentral lists this ribosomal RNA (465 nucleotides) under uncultured bacterium. Its description in RNAcentral is "partial 16S ribosomal RNA". It matches the Rfam family "Bacterial small subunit ribosomal RNA", at positions 338 to 795 of the family's 1533-position model. The record is from RNAcentral.
CCUACGGGUGGCAGCAGUAGGGAAUCUUCCACAAUGGACGCAAGUCUGAUGGAGCAACGCCGCGUGAGUGAAGAAGGGUUUCGGCUCUUAAAGCUCUGUUGGUAGUGAAGAAAGGUAGAGGUAGUAACUGUCCUUUAUUUGACUGUAUUUACUUAGAAAGUCACGGCUAACUACGUGCCAGCAGCCGCGGUAAUACGUAGGUGGCAAGCGUUGUCCGGAUUUAUUGGGCGUAAAGCGAGUGCAGGCGGUUCAAUAAGUCUGUUGUGAAAGUCUUCGGCUCAACCGGAGAAUUGCAUCAGAAACUGGUGAACUUGAGUGCAGAAGAGGUGAGCGGAACUCGAUGUGUAGCGGUGGAAUGCGUAGAUAUAUGGAAGAACACCAGUGGCGAAGGCGGCUCUCUGGUCUGCCACUGACGCUGAGGCUCGAAAGCAUGGGUAGCGAACAGGAUUAGAUACCCCUGUAGUC